AGAGUUUGAUCCUGGCUCAGGACGAACGCUGGCGGCGCGCCUAACACAUGCAAAGUCGAACGGGACUAUACUCGGUAAGAAGUUUUCGGUAUGGAUUUGGGAUAGUUAGUGGCGGACGGGCGAGUAACACGUGAGCAACCUGCCUUCGAGAGGGGAAUAACGGCUGGAAACGGUCGCUAAUACCGCAUAACGUACGGAUGGGACAUCCUGUCUGUACCAAAGAUUUAUCGCUCGAAGAUGGGCUCGCGUCCGAUUAGGUAGUUGGUGAGGUAACGGCCCACCAAGCCGACGAUCGGUAGCCGGACUGAGAGGUUGAACGGCCACAUUGGGACUGAGACACGGCCCAGACUCCUACGGGAGGCAGCAGUGGGGGAUAUUGCACAAUGGGGGAAACCCUGAUGCAGCGACGCCGCGUGUGGGAAGACGGUCUUCUGGAUGGUAAACCACUGUCCCCAGGGACGAAAAUGACGGUACCUGGGGAGGAAGCUCCGGCUAACUACGUG
Molecule: ribosomal RNA, 503 nt
Filed under: uncultured Oscillospiraceae bacterium
Lineage: Bacteria; Bacillati; Bacillota; Clostridia; Eubacteriales; Oscillospiraceae
Description: bacterial SSU rRNA
Rfam family: Bacterial small subunit ribosomal RNA
Source: RNAcentral